UCCGGCUUACACCGGCGGUCUCCUAUGAGUUCCCAACUGAAUGGUGGCAACUAAGGACGAGGGUUGCGCUCGUUGCGGGACUUAACCCAACACCUCACGGCACGAGCUGACGACAGCCAUGCAGCACCUGAACCGGCAGUCCCCGAAGGGAAGCCGUGUUUCCACGGCGGUCACCAACAUGUCAAGCCCAGGUAAGGUUCUUCGCGUUGCGUCGAAUUAAACCACAUGCUCCGCUGCUUGUGCGGGCCCCCGUCAAUUCCUUUGAGUUUCACCCUUGCGGGCGUACUCCCCAGGUGGAUUACUUAACGCUUUCGCUAAGACGCUGACAGUUUAUCGCCAACAUCGAGUAAUCAUCGUUUACAGCGUGGACUAC
RNAcentral lists this unclassified non-coding RNA (373 nucleotides) under uncultured bacterium. Its description in RNAcentral is "contains 16S-23S intergenic spacer region". The record is from RNAcentral.